Molecule: ribosomal RNA, 253 nt
Filed under: uncultured bacterium
Lineage: Bacteria
Description: partial 16S ribosomal RNA
Rfam family: Bacterial small subunit ribosomal RNA
Source: RNAcentral
GACGAACCGAGCGAACGUUGUUCGGAAUCACUGGGCUUAAAGGGCGCGUAGGCGGCCUGUUAAGUCGAACGUGAAAUCCCCGGGCUCAACCCGGGAACUGCGUCCGAUACUGGCAGGCUUGAAUCCGGGAGAGGGAUGCGGAAUUCCAGGUGUAGCGGUGAAAUGCGUAGAUAUCUGGAGGAACACCGGUGGCGAAGGCGGCAUCCUGGACCGGCAUUGACGCUGAGGCGCGAAAGCCAGGGGAGCAAACGGG